UACGUAGGGCGCAAGCGUUGUCCGGAAUUAUUGGGCGUAAAGAGCUCGUAGGCGGCUUGUCACGUCUGCUGUGAAAUCCCGGGGCUCAACCCCGGGCGUGCAGUGGAUACGGGCUGGCUAGAGGCAGGCAGGGGAGAACGGAAUUCCCGGUGUAGCGGUGAAAUGCGCAGAUAUCGGGAGGAACACCGGUGGCGAAGGCGGGUCUCUGGGCCUGUACUGACGCUGAGGAGCGAAAGCGUGGGGAGCGAACAGG
RNAcentral lists this ribosomal RNA (253 nucleotides) under uncultured bacterium. RNAcentral describes it as "partial 16S ribosomal RNA". It matches the Rfam family "Bacterial small subunit ribosomal RNA", at positions 524 to 776 of the family's 1533-position model. The record is from RNAcentral.